CCGCCACCUACGUCAUGACGCAACUGUCCAAACCCCUCCCACGUUGAGCCAUGUGUGAGUGAGAUUUUUCUUCACGGGUCCCUCGCUGCUGAAAUCUCGGAUGAUUGAGGACGAUCAAUAGAUGAGGCUCCGGACUCUCCACUGAGUGAGCUUUGACAUGUCGGCAGUCAAAGGGAUCAAACACAAAGGUCAUUAAAUGCUGACGCUUUGGAUUGGAUUGGCAAUGGAUGUGAAAUGGUGAAAUACAAAUGAAUGACAGACAUGACAGUGAGCCAGCAUGCACUUUACCAGGAGCAUGAAAACUGAUGCAGUUCAGAGGAGUAACAACACAAUUUGACUUGUUUAAGGGAGAAAAGUACCGGCUCCAUUCUAUUCAGUUUCCCAGUAUGUCCUACCACUAAGUGAGCAGGCACAAUGUAGAGCCGUCAUUCAUGUUCCAUAUUUCACCUGUUGUUUUCCAGCUGUAAAAAGUCAAAA
This is a long non-coding RNA of Acanthopagrus latus (yellowfin seabream), 477 nucleotides long. RefSeq lists it as uncharacterized. Lineage: Eukaryota; Metazoa; Chordata; Actinopteri; Spariformes; Sparidae. The record is from RefSeq and is a predicted model, not a curated record. The transcript has 3 exons.